This 1221-nucleotide ribosomal RNA is filed under the name metagenome. Its description in RNAcentral is "bacterial LSU rRNA". It matches the Rfam family "Bacterial large subunit ribosomal RNA", at positions 1728 to 2925 of the family's 2925-position model. The record is from RNAcentral.
CCGUAACUUCGGAAGAAGGUAUGCCUUCGAUGGUGUAGGGAUUUACUCCCGAAGCUGUUGAAGGUCGCAGGUAAUCGGUGGCUGCGACUGUUUAUCAAAAACACAGGACUCUGCGAACACGCAAGUGGAAGUAUAGGGUCUGACGCCUGCCCGGUGCCGGAAGGUUAAUUGAUGGGGUUAGCCGCAAGGCGAAGCUCUUGAUCGAAGCCCCGGUAAACGGCGGCCGUAACAAUAACGGUCCUAAGGUAGCGAAAUUCCUUGUCGGGUAAGUUCCGACCUGCACGAAUGGCGUAACGCUGGCCACACUGUCUCGACCCGAGACUCAGUGAAGUUGAAAUCGCUGUGAAGAUGCGGCGUUCCCGCGGCAAGACGGAAAGACCCCGUGAACCUUCACUACAGCUUUACACUGAACUUUGAACCUUUCUGUGUAGGAUAGGUGGGAGGCUAUGAAACUUGGGCGCUAGCUCGAGUGGAGCCAACCUUGAAAUACCACCCUGGGAUGUUUGAAGUUCUAACCUUGGUCCGUAAUCCGGAUUGGGGACAGUGUAUGGUGGGUAGUUUGACUGGGGCGGUCUCCUCCCAAAGAGUAACGGAGGAGUGCAUGGUACGCUCAGCGCGGUCGGUCAUCGCGCUCUAGAGUGCAAAGGCAUAAGCGUGCUUAACUGAGAGACAGACACGUCGAACAGGUACGAAAGUAGGUCUUAGUGAUCCGGUGGUUCUGUAUGGAAGGGCCAUCGCUCAACGGAUAAAAGGUACUCCGGGGAUAACAGGCUUAUUCCUCCCAAGAGUCCACAUCGACGGAGGAGUUUGGCACCUCGAUGUCGGCUCAUCACAUCCUGGGGCUGUAGCAGGUCCCAAGGGUAUGGCUGUUCGCCAUUUAAAGUGGUACGCGAGCUGGGUUCAGAACGUCGUGAGACAGUUCGGUCCCUAUCUGCCGUGGGCGUUGGAAACUUGAGGGUGAGCUGUCCUUAGUACGAGAGGACCGGGAUGGACGUAUCUCUGGUGUUCCGGUUGUCACGCCAGUGGCACUGCCGGGUAGCUAUAUACGGACGGGAUAAGCGCUGAAAGCAUCUAAGCGCGAAGCCCCCCCCAAGAUUAGGUUUCCCUGGGAACUCGAUUCCCCUAAAGGGCCGUCGGAGACUACGACGUUGAUAGGCUGGGUGUGUAAGUGCAGCAAUGCAUUGAGCUAACCAGUACUAAUUGCCCGUGAGGCUUGAUCAA